Molecule: transfer RNA, 73 nt
Filed under: Archangium sp. Cb G35
Lineage: Bacteria; Pseudomonadati; Myxococcota; Myxococcia; Myxococcales; Archangiaceae
Rfam family: tRNA
About the family: Transfer RNA (tRNA) molecules are approximately 80 nucleotides in length.
Source: Rfam by way of RNAcentral
GCCCCGUUCGUCUACUGGCUCAGGAUACCGCGUUCUCACCGCGGAGAGACGGGUUCGACUCCCGUACGGGGUA